CAUGCCAACUCUCGCCAUGUGCUCAAGAACAUCAAGCAAAUAGCCAUGGAGAUUCAUUCGGAUCUGUCAAAAAAAAACGUAGCUCAGAUCACAUCACACCAAGUGUUCUGGCCGUACCUGCACCUGAUGAGGUGUGCGGGCUUUAAACUUAUCGCCUCGAGAGCCGGAGGAAUUUGGAGGGAGGUUGUUUGGGCGUUAGAGAAAGAAUGGUAGUGCGAAAUCAGCUAAACAUCUCAUAUCCGGUACUCCCAUGGCUGUCGCAGCACCACUGAAUUGUUUUGUACCAUAGAAAAGCAAUUGCUGAACACCUAUACAAAAUUUUGUUGUUGCUGUUAUUCCGUUUUAAUGCAACUGUUAGAAAUCAUGCACAGAAUAUAAGGGAACAUGUAUAAAAUAGAUUUACUAAAAUUCUGUUUAAUAUCAUGAGGCAGCAUAGUGUAAUUAUAUAGCACUGUGGAUAUCGAAUAAAUUAAAUUAUUGCGAAUUAGCGAAAUUUAGCGUGUGGGCAAGAGAGGUGCUUUAUAACCUGACAUGUGGUAGAAAAACCCGCAUUGCACAAACUAGAUUUAUUGAAGUGAGAGGUCUUAUCUCACUAAAUCUAGUUUUUGUAUUGUGGGUUUUUCUAACAGUAUCAACACGUUAGAGUGCUUUCCAUUCAACCUGACAUGUAUUAUAUGUUGUGUUUUCUUGAACUGAUUAGUUAUAGAUUAUAGUUUAUUUAAUUAUAUAUAUAUUUGUUGAUUGUAUUUUGAAAUAAAGAUUUGUGUAAUCGUUUUAA
Penaeus vannamei (Pacific white shrimp) is the source of this 778-nucleotide non-coding RNA. Lineage: Eukaryota; Metazoa; Arthropoda; Malacostraca; Decapoda; Penaeidae. The record is from RefSeq and is a predicted model, not a curated record.